RNAcentral lists this transfer RNA (85 nucleotides) under Shewanella polaris. RNAcentral's name for it is "tRNA-Leu". It matches the Rfam family "tRNA". Rfam says of the family: Transfer RNA (tRNA) molecules are approximately 80 nucleotides in length. Their secondary structure includes four short double-helical elements and three loops (D, anti-codon, and T loops). RNAcentral also lists the same sequence under 1 other name. Lineage: Bacteria; Pseudomonadati; Pseudomonadota; Gammaproteobacteria; Alteromonadales; Shewanellaceae. The record is from RNAcentral.
GCCGGUGUGGUGAAAUUGGUAUACACGACGGAUUCAAAAUCCGUUGACGAAAGUCGUGUCGGUUCAAGUCCGACCACCGGUACCA